RNAcentral lists this ribosomal RNA (380 nucleotides) under uncultured bacterium. RNAcentral describes it as "partial 16S ribosomal RNA". It matches the Rfam family "Bacterial small subunit ribosomal RNA", at positions 338 to 710 of the family's 1533-position model. The record is from RNAcentral.
CCUACGGGAGGCAGCAGUAGGGAAUCUUCCACAAUGGACGAAAGUCUGAUGCAGCAACGCCGCGUGAGUGAAGAAGGUUUUCGGCUCGUAAAGCUCUGUUGGUAGUGAAGAAAAAUAGAGGUAGUAACUGGCCUUUAUUUGACGGUACUUACUUAGAAAGUCCCGGCUAACUACGUGCCAGCAGCCGCGGUAAUACGGAGGUGGCAAGCGUUGUCCGGAUUUAUUGGGCGUAAAGGGAGUGCAGGCGGUUCAAUAAGUCAGAUGUGAAAGCCUUCGGCUCAACCGGAGAAUUGCAUCAGAAACUGUUGAACUGGAGUGCAGAAGAGGAGGGUGGAACUCCAUGUGUAGCGGUGGAAUGCGUAGAUAUAUGGAAGAACACC